GGUGGCUCAGUGGAGAGCACUUGCCUUGCAUGCAUGAGGCCGUGGGUUCAAUUCCUCAGCACCA
This 64-nucleotide transfer RNA is filed under the name Dipodomys ordii (Ord's kangaroo rat). It matches the Rfam family "tRNA". Rfam says of the family: Transfer RNA (tRNA) molecules are approximately 80 nucleotides in length. The record is from Rfam by way of RNAcentral. Lineage: Eukaryota; Metazoa; Chordata; Mammalia; Rodentia; Heteromyidae.